UGUGCCGGGCAGCGCGGUGCCCCCCGCCGCCAUCUUUGAGUGGGGCGCUCCCGGCCGCCUCCCAUUCAUCGAGCGGGAGGAAAGACGUGUGAGCUGCUGAUCCCCUUAGCAAACAUGACGGCAGAAGAACGUUUGGAGUAUGCUCAUCGCCCUCUGGGUUUGACAAACAUUGUGCGGCAACAAAUGGAAAUAGAAACAAACAAAAAAAACACAAUCACGCGGUGUUGUUCCAACUCAUCAGAAAGCAUUACGGAGAAAUGUCGCUAUGUGCAGAACAUCAGUGAAGUGCCGUACCACAUGCACUACUUCAGGCACAGCAGUGUGAGCGCUUGUAGCAGUGACCGAAUAAAGACACCCCGUGCGGGCAGGAGGUGCGGCAGCACUGCGGCCAUUGGCAGUGCUGGGAGCAGGGCUGAGGGCACAGGUGCAGCAGGAGAUGUUCAGAAUUCAAUACCGUGCAAUGGUAAAAAGACAACAGUGAAGAAGCCAGCGCAGCCGAGUUCUGGUGCAGUCAGUGUCCAUCAGGGCCCUCCUGAUCCCGAGUGUGGAAUUACUGCUUUGCUGCACUGCGGGGUUGUUCUGAAAAUGCACUGAUGAAACUCUGAAAUAGGAGAGACAACAAGAAAAAGAAACCCAACUUGCUCAGAGAAGAACUGUUCCUAACAGUGACGGGAAAACAAGUACACCAAAAUAUUAAAAGAUGUUCCAAAUCUCUCCAGUGAAGACCUUUGAGGAAAUAAGUUUCAAAUGCCAGAACAAGCAUGAAUUCCUGAUCAAGUCCUACAUUUGUUAAACAGAAAUAGGCCCAAGAACAGUGGUGCCCCUCCUCGUGCAAGGCUUGGCAUCUGGGGAGGUAACAGCAGUGCAGAAUGGAUGUACAGAUCCCAAAAAUGUAUCUUGACAUCCUAACUCCUGGUUGUUCUUGAACUUACUUAAUUAUCAAUGAGCCACUAAGAAUGCAGGGAAGGUAUUUACAGAAUUGUAUUUGGAGAUGGACUUACAGUGAAAGUGGGGAGAACAGUGACAAAGACAUACUAACAGUUACUGGGAAGUAAAUUGUGAAAGCCUUCAAAACAAAAACAAAGCAAAACAAAGCAAAACAAAAAAAAGCCACCUGAAAAAGAGUAGAGAGACUAAAAUGAUAACUCAAGUAAUAAUUGCUCCUCAGCUAGAAAUGAUCGUCUGGAAAGAAGAGAAGAUUUUACAACGUAAAUCCAUCAGUGUCAGAGUAAGAGAAACUGACAGACCUCAAGGCUACUGAUUGCAGGGUGGCUGUCUGAGAAACAAAGCAAGCUCCUGUAUUUACUGUAUUUCCAUUUUCUCCCUCUGCAGAAAGGAAGUGAAAGCCGUUCACAUAUCUGCCCUACCUACAUUACUGCUUGAAUGAAUGAAAAGCAAAGCAGCACUGACAAAAACAGCAAUAUUAAACUGUUCUUCUUUAACA
Molecule: non-coding RNA, 1444 nt
Organism: Meleagris gallopavo (turkey)
Lineage: Eukaryota; Metazoa; Chordata; Aves; Galliformes; Phasianidae
Source: RefSeq, a predicted model, not a curated record